RNAcentral lists this long non-coding RNA (1176 nucleotides) under Rattus norvegicus (Norway rat). RNAcentral describes it as "long non-coding RNA NONRATT032467". Lineage: Eukaryota; Metazoa; Chordata; Mammalia; Rodentia; Muridae. The record is from RNAcentral.
AUGAAAUGACAGAGCCAAAGAAAUCAGGAAGAAAGCAAAACCUAGCUUAAUGGUCGUAGAAGGGGAUUAGGUCCCUGCACCAAGAGGAGCGAGUAGAAAAGGCUCAGCUCGCAGCAGUCUCCAGACAAGUAGUGGUUGGCCGGCGCUCAGCAGCAGCUACACUGCAUGUUCGCGUGUUGUGGCGGUGGCGGUGGGAGGCCUGGAACUUUGGGCACGAUCCGGAAUGAGGGAAGAAUCCAGCCCUUCGGCUCAGACACUUUAAAGCUUAAAGAGGACAGCAAUCAGGUUGGGGUAUCCUUUGCUGUAGUGGGUCCUUGUGGGAGAGAUAUAAACAGGAGGCUGAGUCAGGGUGCGGAUAUUUCCUCACAUAGGCCCAUCCUCUGGCCCAGUGGCAUUCACGUCGGGGUCUUGUGGGGCUUUGUAGUGUCCAUCCAUUCUGGGAGGCAACAAGUGAAACUGCAGGAUGGGGUUGUUGCUUGUAAUUGGCCAGAACAGAAACCAGGGAACGUGUCCUGGUGGGGCUGACCCUAAAGAAGGCUUUGCAUAUAGGGUAGAAAAACAUUGAGGAAAAACUCUAUUCUUUUGGAAUCCAAAUGCCCCUUUCUAGUGUCUUCACCGCUCUCCCUGCAAGCGGAUUUCUCAAAGGAUACAUGCUGGGGUGUUGAAGACUCGUGGGAGAGGGCUCUGGGCAGGGGUGGUCAAUGUGGAGAUAUUUUCAGAGGACUAACUGAUAAAGAAUAGAAUGUGCUCCCUAAUUUCCGAUUGCCUCCUGUACUUAGACAAUGCCUUCCAUCCAAUCCAUCCUCCGGCCGGUGGAGGCCCUAGCUUGUCCAGUUGGAGCGGAUUUCAGGAACAGAGGAAAAUGGGGGCUCUCAAGCCCUCCUCAGCUUCCCUCCGUCGCCCUUCCUGAUUAGCUGUGUAUCCCCGAGCCCAACUUCAGUCGCUCUAGACUCUGUCUGAGUCCCCACAGGAGACGGAGCGCUGCGACCCAGGGCAGGAGGGGCGGCCAGGCCACCUAUUCCUGGGUUUUGCAUCCCUCGGGCCCCUGGGGGGGUGGGGAGCGCCGACAGGAUAGGCAUCCAUCGCCUCCUCCAGGCCCAAUUCUCCGUGUCUAGCAGCCUCGGUUCCUCUCCGCCCCCCUUUCCCUCCCAGCGGCGGCCUCCCUCCUCCUCCCCC